ACUCCUACGGGAGGCAGCAGUGGGAAUAUUGGACAAUGGGAACCGUAGCAUCCAGCCAUGCCGCGCUGUGUGAAGAAGGCCUUCGGGUUGUAAAGCACUUUCAGUGGGGAAGAUAAUGACGGUACCCGCAGAAGAAGCCCGGCUAGCUACCCGUGCCAGCAGCCGCGGUAAUACGGAGGGGCGUAGCGUUGUUCGGAAUUACUGGGCGUAAAGCGCGCGUAGGCGGACUUUCAAGUCAGGGUGAAAUCCCGAGGCUCAACCUCGGAACUGCCUUUGAUACUGUAAGUCUUGAGUCCGAGAGAGGUGAGUGGAAUUCCUAGUGUAGAGGUGAAAUUCGUAGAUAUUAGGAAGAACACCAGUGGCGAAGGCGGCUCACUGGCUCGGUACUGACGCUGAGGUGCGAAAGCGUGGGG
RNAcentral lists this ribosomal RNA (413 nucleotides) under uncultured bacterium. Its description in RNAcentral is "bacterial SSU rRNA". It matches the Rfam family "Bacterial small subunit ribosomal RNA", at positions 335 to 766 of the family's 1533-position model. The record is from RNAcentral.